UUCGCCCUUAGAGUUUGAUCCUGGCUCAGGACGAACGCUGGCGGCGCGCCUAACACAUGCAAGUCGAACGAGCGAGAGGGAGCUUGCUUUCUCAAGCGAGUGGCGAACGGGUGAGUAACGCGUGAGGAACCUGCCUCAAAGAGGGGGACAACAGUUGGAAACGACUGCUAAUACCGCAUAAGCCCACGACCCGGCAUCGGGUAGAGGGAAAAGGAGCAAUCCGCUUUGAGAUGGCCUCGCGUCCGAUUAGCUAGUUGGUGAGGUAAUGGCCCACCAAGGCGACGAUCGGUAGCCGGACUGAGAGGUUGAACGGUCACAUUGGGACUGAGACACGGCCCAGACUCCUACGGGAGGCAGCAGUGGGGAAUAUUGCACAAUGGGGGAAACCCUGAUGCAGCGACGCCGCGUGGAGGAAGAAGGUCUUCGGAUUGUAAACUCCUGUUGUUGAGGAAGAUAAUGACGGUACUCAACAAGGAAGUGACGGCUAACUACGUGCCAGCAGCCGCGGUAAAACGUAGGUCACAAGCGUUGUCCGGAAUUACUGGGUGUAAAGGGAGCGCAGGCGGGAAGACAAGUUGGAAGUGAAAUCCAUGGGCUCAACCCAUGAACUGCUUUCAAAACUGUUUUUCUUGAGUAGUGCAGAGGUAGGCGGAAUUCCCGGUGUAGCGGUGGAAUGCGUAGAUAUCGGGAGGAACACCAGUGGCGAAGGCGGCCUACUGGGCACCAACUGACGCUGAGGCUCGAAAGUGUGGGUAGCAAACAGGAUUUAGAUACCCUGGUAGUCCACACUGUAAACGAUGAUCACUAGGUGUUGGAGGAUUGACCCCUUCAGUGCCGCAGUUAACACAAUAAGUAAUCCACCUGGGGAGUACGACCGCAAGGUUGAAACUCAAAGGAAUUGACGGGGGCCCGCACAAGCAGUGGAGUAUGUGGUUUAAUUCGACGCAACGCGAAGAACCUUACCAAGUCUUGACAUCCUGCGACGGACAUAGAAAUAUGUUUUUCCUUCGGGACGCAGAGACAGGUGGUGCAUGGUUGUCGUCAGCUCGUGUCGUGAGAUGUUGGGUUAAGUCCCGCAACGAGCGCAACCCUUAUGGUCAGUUACUACGCAAGAGGACUCUGGCCAGACUGCCGUUGGCAAAACGGAGGAAGGUGGGGAUGACGUCAAAUCAUCAUGCCCUUUAUGACUUGGGCUACACACGUACUACAAUGGCGUUAAACAAAGAGAAGCAAGACCGCGAGGUGGAGCAAAACUCAGAAACAACGUCCCAGUUCGGACUGCAGGCUGCAACUCGCCUGCACGAAGUCGGAAUUGCUAGUAAUCGCAGAUCAGCAUGCUGCGGUGAAUACGUUCCCGGGCCUUGUACACACCGCCCGUCA
RNAcentral lists this ribosomal RNA (1380 nucleotides) under uncultured bacterium. RNAcentral describes it as "16S ribosomal RNA". It matches the Rfam family "Bacterial small subunit ribosomal RNA". The record is from RNAcentral.